AACGCGAAGAACCUUACCAGGGCUUGACAUGGAGAGGCUGUGUCCAGAGAUGGGCAUUCCCGCAAGGGCCUCUUGCACAGGUGCUGCAUGGCUGUCGUCAGCUCGUGUCGUGAGAUGUUGGGUUAAGUCCCGCAACGAGCGCAACCCUCGCCUUCAGUUGCCAUCACGUUUGGGUGGGCACUCUGAAGGAACUGCCGGUGACAAGCCGGAGGAAGGUGGGGAUGACGUCAAGUCCUCAUGGCCCUUAUGUCCUGGGCUACACACGUGCUACAAUGGCGGUGACAGCGGGAAGCCAGGUCGCGAGGCCGAGCUGAUCCCGAAAAGCCGUCUCAGUUCGGAUUGCACUCUGCAACUCGGGUGCAUGAAGGUGGAAUCGCUAGUAAUCGCGGAACAGCAUGCCGCGGUGAAUACGUUCCCGGGCCUUGUACACACCGCUCGCGA
This 441-nucleotide ribosomal RNA is filed under the name uncultured bacterium. Its description in RNAcentral is "bacterial SSU rRNA". It matches the Rfam family "Bacterial small subunit ribosomal RNA", at positions 958 to 1399 of the family's 1533-position model. The record is from RNAcentral.